Molecule: transfer RNA, 68 nt
Filed under: Marmota monax (woodchuck)
Lineage: Eukaryota; Metazoa; Chordata; Mammalia; Rodentia; Sciuridae
Description: tRNA.Ala
Source: RNAcentral
GCUGGGGCUCAGUGGCAGAGCAAUUGCCUGGCAUGUGUGAGACACUGAGUUCGAUCCUCAGCACUGCA